Molecule: long non-coding RNA, 1211 nt
Organism: Scylla paramamosain (green mud crab)
Lineage: Eukaryota; Metazoa; Arthropoda; Malacostraca; Decapoda; Portunidae
Exons: 4
Source: RefSeq, a predicted model, not a curated record
GGCAAUGAGAAGAGGGACAAAAGAACAUGGGAUGCCUGUGUUCAUACCGGGAUCUGAUGUCAGUUCUUGUGAAGGGCCAGAAUGCAUAUUCCUGAAGUCUGGAAGGAGUCAUCCGCCAGCCUGUAUGAACACUAGGCUGUAGCUCCAAAACUAACUGUAGGAUUCUCUCUAAAAUAGUCUCAUUGAGAUUCUCGCACAAAAUUACCUAUACGUAACUUAAUCUAAUCUAACCUAACCGCUACAAGAGUAAAUGGGCCGAAACAUUACCAGACUUCGGGAAUAUGCCUCCAGAGGGAUACGGGGUAAGGUCGCUUCACACACAUCAGUGCCGUAUUCGUAAUUUUACUUUAAUGAUUUUCCUCAGGCUGAACGCCUCAUGCAGUUGACUCUCUGAGAGACGCAAAAAAAUAAUCAAUGGGAACAUUCUUGUAGCAGAAAUCCUGAACUUGUACCCGUGGAUUCAGACUUUUGAUGGCAUAAUCAAGGAGUUCCUGAGAUUAGAACCACAAGCGGAUGAACCAGACCCAAGAGUAGCAGUUUUGAAAGGGCUGGAGAAAUAUAGGCUCCCAAUAAUUGCCAUUCUCAAAAAAAGAAAAGCAGUUCCUCUGUAUAUGGAAACCUUACUUGAACUCUAUGACCACGAUGAAAGUCAAUAUGCCUGCUUAGUUAUAUUGGGGUUACUUUCACCUGCUUGGAGAAAGGAAAGACUCCAUUUUUACUAAGGUACCAGAAGAAGAACUAAGAACAGGGCAGUCUAGUGUGUAUUUGAUGGUGCACCUGUAGCUGAACCAACAUGUAUUUCUAUGGCUGUAGUCUCAUUGGUAGCAGGGCUUUGUGUUUAAUAUUGAACACCCAAAAAAUUGUGAACAUUUCCUCCGUUUCACAACAUCCCAUCUCUUAGGUAUCAAGUAUGACAAAGGUAACACUUCAAAAACAAGAUCUCUACUUGUAAAACUCAAUGAAGUAAAGACAGAAUUGAGCUACAAAAAUGCAUAAAUCUGCUUCCAAAUAUAUUCAACUCCACACAUAAUGCCUCUCUCUCUCUCUCUCUCUCUCUCUCUCUCUCUCUCUCUCUCUCUCUCUCUCUCUCUCUCUCUCUCUCUCUCUCUCUCUCUCUCUCUGUCACACACACACACACACACACACACACACACACACACACACACACACACACACACACACACACACACACACACACACACACACACACA